UACGAGGGGGGCGAGCGUUGUUCGGAAUUAUUGGGCGUAAAGGGUGCGUAGGCGGCUUUGGUAAGUCUGAUGUGAAAUCUAUGGGCUCAACUCAUAGUCUGCAUCGGAAACUGCCGGGCUUGAGUAUGGGAGAGGUGAGUGGAAUUCCUGGUGUAGCGGUGAAAUGCGUAGAUAUCAGGAGGAACACCUGUGGCGAAAGCGGCUCACUGGACCAUAACUGACGCUGAUGCACGAAAGCUAGGGGAGCAAACAGG
This 254-nucleotide ribosomal RNA is filed under the name uncultured bacterium. Its description in RNAcentral is "partial 16S ribosomal RNA". It matches the Rfam family "Bacterial small subunit ribosomal RNA", at positions 524 to 776 of the family's 1533-position model. The record is from RNAcentral.